This 603-nucleotide ribosomal RNA is filed under the name uncultured archaeon. RNAcentral's name for it is "bacterial SSU rRNA". It matches the Rfam family "Archaeal small subunit ribosomal RNA", at positions 319 to 923 of the family's 1478-position model. The record is from RNAcentral.
UCCCUAUGGGGUGCAGCAGGCGCGAAAACUUUACAAUGCGGGAAACCGCGAUAAGGGGAUACUGAGUGCCAGCAUCUUAUGUUGGCUGUCCACCUGUAUAAACAGCAGGUGUUAGCAAGGGCCGGGCAAGACCGGUGCCAGCCGCCGCGGUAACACCGGCGGCCCGAGUGGUGACCACUAUUAUUGGGUCUAAAGGGUCCGUAGCCGGUUUGAUCAGUCUUCCGGGAAAUCUGACAGCUCAACUGUUAGGCUUCCGGGGGAUACUGUCAGACUUGGGACCGGGAGAGGUAAGAGGUACUACAGGGGUAGGAGUGAAAUCUUGUAAUCCUUGUGGGACCACCAGUGGCGAAGGCGUCUUACCAGAACGGGUCCGACGGUGAGGGACGAAAGCUGGGGGCACGAACCGGAUUAGAUACCCGGGUAGUCCCAGCUGUAAACGAUGCUCGCUAGGUGUCUGGGACGGUGCGACCGUUUCAGGUGCCGCAGGGAAGCCGUGAAGCGAGCCACCUGGGAAGUACGGCCGCAAGGCUGAAACUUAAAGGAAUUGGCGGGGGAGCACUACAACGGGUGGAGCCUGCGGUUUAAUUGGAUUCAACGCCGGAA